UCAUCCUUCACCAUUAAAAAAAAAGAGUAGAUAAUAACAUAACAUGUGUGGUCCAAAAUUUUGAAUAGUAAACCAAAAUCUAUGAGAACUAUAGAAAACAGGAAAAAUCUUUAAGCCUGAGAUACAUGAUCUUAUGCCAAUGUUGCCAGUACUAUUUCAGAUGGGGAAAGUAUAGCGAUCAAUGUUAUUUAAUUUUUUUUUAUUACAACAGGAGUUCUCAAAACUUGGGAUGUUGGAAGGAUGUUGAGGUUAAAAUUGUUUUCGUUCUGCUUAAAUAAGAAAAUCUUUCUUGUGUCUAAUACAAUGUUAGACUUUCCAGUGCUUGGAGGGCCCACUUUAAUGUAGUGGAACCAGUAGAAUAUAUACUCCACCAAAAGAAUAGUAAGUAAUUCCAUCCAUCCAUCUUUAAAACACUUAUCGUGCAGACAGGGUUGUGGGGGGCUGCAGUCAAUCCCAGCCAAUUUUGGGCGAGAGACAGGGCACACCUUGGAUUGGUUGGCAGCCAAUUGCAGGACUAACACAGAGACAAACUAACAUUCAAACUCACAUCCACACACCUACGGGCAAUUUAGAGCCACCAAUUAACCUGAUCCCCAGAGCAUGUCUUUAGACUGUGGGAGGAAGCCAGAGGACCCGGAGAGAACCCACGCAGACAGGGGGAGAAUAUGCAGACCGCACACAGAAAGGCCACAGGGAGAAGUCGAACCCAGGACCUUCUUGCUGUGAGGCCACAGUGCUAACCAUGACACCACCGUGCUGCCCGUAUGGCAUUCCAAUAUAUUUGAAUGUUAAAGUAUUUGCUUCGAAUUCAGCAUUCUGCAAAUGUGCUUCUUCCCCUUUCUUACAGAUUGCAAAUCAUUGACACGCAUGUGGCUUCAGCAGACCUCUAUUGGACAUAAUAAAUGUUUCCACUCUUUACAUUGAUGUUCCUAACAAGGAUAUCUCAAAUUCUCUGAAUUCAACUGAGGACACCGCCAGCUUGGCCAAAAGUGUGGCGUAUAAUGGACUAAACUAUAGAUGUGUGAUGAUUUUGAUCAAUGGCUUACUGGAUACAUGGCCAGUUUGAUAAAAUCAUAUAAAUGGUGAUACUGCAAGACAAGUUCAUCUUCAUUGUGUAGAAGCUCAGCCUGUAAAAUUAGAAAUGAAUGAUUUGAAUAAUAAAUAUUCUUUUUCAUUGUGUAACCAGUGAGGAAAUGUCCCUCCUGAGCUACUGUAGGCUCAGGCAGGCCUCGGUACCUCCUACUUUGUGGUUUGACAGGGUAUAAAAGCUGCACAUUAUGUAGCAGCUGUCAGUAUGCUUGUCCCUUUCUGUGUUGGAGUCUGGUUGGACAAUCUAGUGAGCUGACUGCUAUGGCUGGUUCCACACCUGCAGAAUCCAGAUUAACAUUGAAAAACUAACACUUCCAAAUGCUUGCCAGAGUCUCUAGAUAUCUUCACUGCAAGAUGAAGACAACCUUUAGGUUAAAGGGCAACCUCUGACUUCAAUACAUGGAUUAAGAUUUUGCCAAUUACUUAUUUAAUCUAAAUUCUACCACUGAAUUUCAGGGACAAGUAGGAGGCCAAACAGUUGGUUCAAUAUGCGAUGGGCAAGAAACCUGGUGGAGACCGUAGUGCCAUGAAUACAAAAAAGUCUUGUAGGACACAACUGCAAUUGCUGAUUAUGGGCGGUCGACCUAAACUGACAGACCUGUCCAGGUCAAAGGAGGCUCAUGGAUCUUGGGGAGAAGAUGGGCGAGGCCUGAGCUCUUAAUCAAGGACUGUCCAGAGAAAACAGGCUCCUGCCUUGAUCGCCAGAAGUGGUCAAGCAGUUUCAGCCUCUUGUGAGAGUGGAAAUUACCAGCAGUCUUGAGUGAUUUGAGUGAACGGUAAGACUUUAUUUUUAUUUCCCCCCCCAGUGGUUUUUGAUAUGUGAUUGUAGCAGGUUGACUGGUCGCAGGUGGUUUCAAUCACUUCACUCUCUGGACCAAUCAGGAAGUAACUGCAUGCUAUAUAGGCGGGGGUUUGACAUCUUGACCCCGUUACUUUGUUGCUGGAGGUACAUUUCCGCUCUGGGUCCUCUCGCGUUCGUGCCGCAGUCACGGUUGUGCAAUGGGUAAUGUAGUGUGCUUAAGUGUUUGUUACCUAAAGGCCUUGGUUGUGUUGGGAUGGCCAUUACAGCGUGUAUUGUCUUUUGCAGUGUCUCUCUGUUACAAACCCGAUCUUUCCUUUAAUGGAAUCGGGUUGAGUGUUGCUGCUGGUAGGUUGGACAAAUCUUUCUCCUCUGUGAAUAUUUUAAUGAAUGAGUGGUUAAGUAAUCUGCCGUUUUAUUGUAGGCUCUGUGUAGCUGUACGAUCGGCACUGCAGGUGUAUUGGUGCGAAGCUCCCUGACGGGUAUGUAUGUAUAUCAGUGGCAUCGCGUGUAUGUUCUUAAAUCAUAAACUGUCAUUGAAUUUGGUUUGUUUGUGCACGCCAGGGUUGUAAAAUUGCUUCACGUGCGCUGGUAUCUGCACCAGCCCCUCCCUUCCCUGCCACGGUGCUGUUUUGUCGCCGCUGACUUUGGGUUUAAACUACGUUCAACGGGUUGCAGCUACACAACUGUAAAUUCCUCCAGGCGUUGAGCGCCUCACAGCGCCCGGAUCUGUUGCUUAAAGUGACAGGGCUGUCUGAUUGCAACCCGGUUGAUAGUUUGCCUUUUUUUGGUUUGCCCGUGCUUGCUACUAUGUGUAUGGAGAUUGGGGUUUAUUUGUUAAAUUAUGAUUUUAAGUGAUGUUGGUUUAUAUUUCUAAGUUUCGAUAAGAAGACUAAUUUUGGUUGGAAUUCUAUUAUCUGUUAAUUUUGGUUAUUUUAGUUGGUAGGCUCUAGUGGUGCCGAAGGUGGUGGUGUGUCUCUCUCCAGUGUGCUGUGUUUUCCCCGUUUGGUUUAAUUUGAGUCGUUUGCUGCAGUGUGAUUGGGGUGAUCCUUCUCUGAGACCCCAUUGACCCUGUCCCUCCACCGGUAAGACCUCAGCACUUACUUUCCCUAUUUAGUAGGUCUGGUAUUUUAAAUGGUAUUUUAUAUUUGUUUUAGUAAUUGUAUUAAAUAAAAUCAUUGUUGUAACGGAACUACGUCUCUGGCUUCAUGCAUGAAUCAAAUCUGUGUGCUUUAGUAAAAUACUAUUCUCGGGGUGAAAUUCCCCGGGUGGCGUUGCCAGUGUCAUCAGUGUUGAGCGGGCCAAAAAGGCACUCCACACCAAAAGAGUUCCACUCGCCACAUAAUGCUUGUCAUGCAGGCUGUGUGACAGGUCUAAUAACAUGUUCUGUUUUUCCUAACUGUCAAGAGCCUGACUGGUGCAUAAUGUAUUAAAUGAAUCUGCUUCUAAUAUGUUGUAUGUCCUGAAAUAUGCCGCCCUCUUUAGCUGCUUCAUUUAAUAUUUGCAAUUUCCCUGUAUGUGCAAAAAGCUGCCAUCAUUGUUCGGGAAAAAUUCCGGUUGCGUUAGGUAAAGUAGUUUUAGAAGUGGCCCAGCAACUUCAGUAUGCUGUGAAAAUUGCCAGCUGACUUAUGGAUUUGAGUGAGAGGUAAGACCUUUUCUCCAGUACUGAUUUUGUUAUGUCAUGCAGGCUGUGUGACGGGUCUAAUACUGUUUAGAAGGCCUGACUGUUUUGCUUAUGCAUCUGCUUAUAAAUAUGUACUGAACUACGUGUGUGUGUGUGUGUGUGUGUGUGUGUAACUAUUUCUGGUUGGCUAAAGUACUGUUGUACUACUACGCAGAAAAAUUCAGAACACAAUUGGCUCCUGCCUCAAGUCUUCCAAAAAGUGGUCAAGCAGCUUUACCCCUCCUGUGAAAUUCUCCUGCCAACUUAGCGAUUCGAGUAACAGGGAAAGUGGAAGCCAACUGGUUCAAGACUUUCCUGACAUAAUGGACAGCUGACAGGAUUUGGCGGAAGGCAAGACCAGGGGUUGCGCUAAGUGUUAGGGGUUGCGCUAAGUGUUAGGGGUUGCGCUAAGUGUUAGGGGUUGCGCUAAGUGUUAGGGGUUGCGCUAAGUG
Gasterosteus aculeatus aculeatus (three-spined stickleback) is the source of this 4003-nucleotide long non-coding RNA. Lineage: Eukaryota; Metazoa; Chordata; Actinopteri; Perciformes; Gasterosteidae. The record is from Ensembl.